RNAcentral lists this ribosomal RNA (238 nucleotides) under uncultured bacterium. RNAcentral's name for it is "partial 16S ribosomal RNA". It matches the Rfam family "Bacterial small subunit ribosomal RNA", at positions 100 to 334 of the family's 1533-position model. The record is from RNAcentral.
CCGGCACGGGUGAGUAACGCGUAUGCAACUUACCUAUCAGAGGGGGAUAACCCGGCGAGAGUCGGACUAAUACCGCAUGAAGCAGGGGCCCCGCAUGGGGAUAUUUGCUAAAGAUUCAUCGCUGAUAGAUAGGCAUGCGUUCCAUUAGGCAGUUGGCGGGGUAACGGCCCACCAAACCGACGAUGGAUAGGGGUUCUGAGAGGAAGGUCCCCCACAUUGGUACUGAGACACGGACCAA